Molecule: long non-coding RNA, 875 nt
Filed under: Lactuca sativa (garden lettuce)
Lineage: Eukaryota; Viridiplantae; Streptophyta; Magnoliopsida; Asterales; Asteraceae
Description: long non-coding RNA (LSAT_LNC005904)
Source: RNAcentral
UUUUAUCUGCCCAUCCGAGUCAUCCCGUACUCCAAAAGAAUAUGCUAAUUUUUACACAUAAUAGCAAGCUGCUUUAAAUUUAGCAACCCAACAUUCUUCUGAACAUUUAUGGCUGCAGGUAGAAAAAGAGAAAUAAAGUUAAGAAAAAAAUAACUUGGUACGAAACCAGAUAUUGAAAUGUGCUCAAGAAUAUAUAAAAACUUACUUCGUUUGGAGCAUCAGAUAUACAUAUAUGCUCUGUUUGGGCCAUUGUCAAUAUACAAAGCUACAUAAUUCACAUUAACAAUUGGUGUGUAAAUUAGGUAGUAAUAAACAUGUUUGUAUGGAGUAAUUUCAUCAAACACAUGGUGUUCAGAAAGAAAAUUAGACACAUAAAUACAUAUACCUUUUAUUAAACAUUUCAUGAAAUGAAAAUAAAUGCCAUCCUUCAUUUGUUGAUCCUAUAGAAAAAAUAAGAUUAAGCACUUAUACUUGUUUGUAGCUAAUAUAAACGAUUCAAGUGGGUGGAUAGACAGAAAAAAAAAAUGAAGAAACAUACUUUAAGUAUCCUUCAAUAGUUCAUGAUUUUGCAAUAACAACACUCCAUAACUUCUUAAUAUCUGACAAAGUUUUAAAAUGCCCAAAAAAUGAAAACGAAAUAAAUAGAAAUAAGGAUAGAGAUGAUCAGGAAAACCCAGUUCAGAGCUCUCCUUUGAUAAUAUUUUUGAACCAUUUGACCUGCACAAAAAAAAUAAUAAUAAAAAAAAUAAAAAAUUCUCAUUCAUUUUUAGUAAAUCUUAAUGUAUCAUUUUGGUGUUAAUCACAUAUUUGUUUACUGAAAAGCCAUAAUUAAUAGGUUAUGUUGCUCAAUAAUCAAUAUUGUUGAUUUGGUAUUG